AAAGACGAAGAUGGUUGAGACAAAAGACACAGAGCGAGCCAUGGAUGAGAGAGUGAGCAAGUUUGAAGAACAACUGAAGAAGCUGGGGUUGAUAGCGAAAUGCAAUGGAGCUGCUUUGCCUUAAAUAGAGAUCAUCAAGGUAAAAACAUGUGGUAAUAUUUCUUACUUACAUUAAAUUACUUAAUCAAUUAUUUAGUAAUUUUAAUUGCAUCUUUUAAUUCAUUCUUCAACUUUUAUUUUAUUAUUUUUUAAUUAUUAUUUUUUAAUUAAUUGUACAAAAAGUGUAUUCUAGCCACUUUUGAGAACUCGUGAAAAUAUAGCAAGAUUGAGUGAAUCUAUAAAGUUUAGAGUAAUAAAAAAUGUAAAAAAAAAAAAUACUGAAUUUAAAUAGUUUUUUAAUUGAAUUUUAUACCGGGAAUUUAAAAUUUCUGAAGAACUAGUUAAAGAUAAUAAAUUUCGAUAUUCAACUUAAACAAGUUAAAAAUUAUAAAAUAGUUACUAAAUAAGGAGUUUAACUAUGACAAUGAAUAUAAAAAUGAAAAGAAAAUAAUUUAUACUUUCGAGUCCUGAAUUAUAUAAUGAAAAGAAAAUAAUGUUUUCUGGUUUGCAUUAAGACCCUGUUUGUUUUAAAAUGCUUUAGGAGAAAAAGAUGAUUAUUUGUGAAAUGAAUGAUCGAGAAAAAGGUGAGGAAGCAUCAUUAUUGAGAAGCGGUGGUGAUGAGAGAGGCUUUAUCGCUUUGAGACAAUCUUUAUGACAAACACGGUGUCGACCUUCAGCUUUUCCAUUUUCACGUUUUUUUAACAUUUCAGAACUCAUCACUACACGUAAGCGCGUUUCCUUCUUUGCUCAUUCUGUAUCACAUGGGCUGGUAAGUGGGUCCCUUCGCUCGUACCAAACAGGACCUUUCGCUCACUUUUUUAUUUACUUUUUUUCAUUUCUUUGAAUUUGGUUGUAGAGUAUUACGUAUUCAUAUUUCUUUAAACAUCACUUUUUGUAAAGAGGGAAUAGACAGAAGAAAUAGAAAAUAUGGGGAUGGAAUUAAGAGAAUUAUUAUUAUUUUUUUCGGUUGGUCGAUCGAAUUAUUUUAUUUUAUUAUUUUAACGAUUUUCUCGUACUUAUCUUGUUUAUCUGUUUUUCGUUUUUUUAAAUUCUAUACUUUGAUAAUACUUAUAAAAGACAUUCUUACAUUAAAGUAAGACUACUCGGUGUUAUUAGUACUGGAUGAUGAAGUACUUGAUUCUUGAAAUCUGUAUCUACUUAUAUGAUUAUCAUGGAUAUUUUAUUGGACCGGAUUAAGG
RNAcentral lists this long non-coding RNA (1298 nucleotides) under Phaseolus vulgaris (common bean). RNAcentral describes it as "long non-coding RNA (PVUL_LNC004258)". The record is from RNAcentral. Lineage: Eukaryota; Viridiplantae; Streptophyta; Magnoliopsida; Fabales; Fabaceae.